GACGAACGCUGGCGGCGUGCUUAACACAUGCAAGUCGAACGGAAAGGCCCUGCUUUUGUGGGGUGCUCGAGUGGCGAACGGGUGAGUAACACGUGAGUAACCUGCCCUUGACUUUGGGAUAACUUCAGGAAACUGGGGCUAAUACCGGAUAGGAGCUCCUGCUGCAUGGUGGGGGUUGGAAAGUUUCGGCGGUUGGGGAUGGACUCGCGGCUUAUCAGCUUGUUGGUGGGGUAGUGGCUUACCAAGGCUUUGACGGGUAGCCGGCCUGAGAGGGUGACCGGCCACAUUGGGACUGAGAUACGGCCCAGACUCCUACGGGAGGCAGCAGUGGGGAAUAUUGCACAAUGGGCGGAAGCCUGAUGCAGCAACGCCGCGUGCGGGAUGACGGCCUUCGGGUUGUAAACCGCUUUCGCCUGUGACGAAGCGUGAGUGACGGUAAUGGGUAAAGAAGCACCGGCUAACUACGUGCCAGCAGCCGCGGUGAUACGUAGGGUGCGAGCGUUGUCCGGAUUUAUUGGGCGUAAAGGGCUCGUAGGUGGUUGAUCGCGUCGGAAGUGUAAUCUUGGGGCUUAACCCUGAGCGUGCUUUCGAUACGGGUUGACUUGAGGAAGGUAGGGGAGAAUGGAAUUCCUGGUGGAGCGGUGGAAUGCGCAGAUAUCAGGAGGAACACCAGUGGCGAAGGCGGUUCUCUGGGCCUUUCCUGACGCUGAGGAGCGAAAGCGUGGGGAGCGAACAGGCUUAGAUAUCCUGGUAGUCCACGCUGUAAACGGUGGGUACUAGGUGUGGGGUCCAUUCCACGGGUUCCGUGCCGUAGCUAACGCUUUAAGUACCCCGCCUGGGGAGUACGGCCGCAAGGCUAAAACUCAAAGGAAUUGACGGGGCCCCGCACAAGCGGCGGAGCAUGCGGAUUAAUUCGAUGCAACGCGUAGAACCUUACCUGGGUUUGACAUGGAUCGGGAGUGCUCAGAGAUGGGUGUGCCUCUUUUGGGGUCGGUUCACAGGUGGUGCAUGGCUGUCGUCAGCUCGUGUCGUGAGAUGUUGGGUUAAGUCCCGCAACGAGCGCAACCCUUGUUCACUGUUGCCAGCACGUUAUGGUGGGGACUCAGUGGAGACCGCCGGGGUCAACUCGGAGGAAGGUGGGGAUGACGUCAAGUCAUCAUGCCCCUUAUGUCCAGGGCUUCACGCAUGCUACAAUGGCUGGUACAGAGAGUGGCGAGCCUGUGAGGGUGAGCGAAUCUCGGAAAGCCGGUCUCAGUUCGGAUUGGGGUCUGCAACUCGACCUCAUGAAGUCGGAGUCGCUAGUAAUCGCAGAUCAGCAACGCUGCGGUGAAUACGUUCCCGGGGCU
This 1346-nucleotide ribosomal RNA is filed under the name uncultured bacterium. RNAcentral describes it as "partial 16S ribosomal RNA". It matches the Rfam family "Bacterial small subunit ribosomal RNA", at positions 28 to 1381 of the family's 1533-position model. The record is from RNAcentral.